RNAcentral lists this ribosomal RNA (451 nucleotides) under Salka sp. HO 00Z01. Its description in RNAcentral is "partial large subunit ribosomal RNA". The record is from RNAcentral. Lineage: Eukaryota; Metazoa; Arthropoda; Insecta; Hemiptera; Cicadellidae.
UAAUUCUGCUCUAUGAUAUUUAAAUGGCUGCAGUAUAUUAACUGUACAAAGGUAGCAUAAUAAUUAGUCUUUUAAUUGAGGGCUUGUAUGAAUGAAUAAAUGAAGAAUUUAUUAUAAUUAAUAAUAUAAUUUUAAUUUAAUUUUUUGGUAAAAAAGCUAAAUUUAAAGUUUGGGACGAAAAGACCCUAAGAACUAUUUUUUUAUUGUUAUUUAAUUUUUAUUUUAAAUUAAUUAAUUUGUGAAAUUUUAUUGGGGUGAUAAUUAAAUUAAAACUUUAUUUUUAUAAUUCUUAAAUUAGAGAUGAAAAUUGAUUCAAUUAUUUGAUUAUAAGAAAAAGUUACCUUAGGGAUAACAGCGUAAUUUAAAUGGGGAGUUCUAAUUUAUAUUUAAGAUUGCGACCUCGAUGUUGAAUUAAGAUUAAUUUUAGGGGUAGUAUUUUAUAAUUUAAGUC